ACAAACAGAAUACUCAUCGACUUCAGCCAUUUUCUCAUUCCACAUUUCCACAGAUUUCAGAAACGAUUCCGCAGUCAUCGGAUCUUCAGAACACUAUGCCUUAGAUCGAUCGCGACGGCGGUGGAUCUCAUCAGCCGGCGAUCAAAGUCGUAGCUCUCUGGUUCUCUUCGCCGAAAUUUUCGCCACAGAGGCCUGAAUCGUGGUGCGACGGAGUGGAUCGAUGAACUGCAAAUUGAAUAUAAAGAUAUCUCGCCCUUGCCGAUGCGGAAUUCCGAUUUAGGUAAGUAUUUCUCCAGAGAAAGGAAUUAAUCAUAAUUUGGUAACAAUUAUGCAAUCAAUAAUAUUUUUAAUAUUUUGUU
This is a long non-coding RNA of Cucurbita maxima (winter squash), 359 nucleotides long. RefSeq lists it as uncharacterized. The transcript is spliced from 2 exons. The record is from RefSeq and is a predicted model, not a curated record. Lineage: Eukaryota; Viridiplantae; Streptophyta; Magnoliopsida; Cucurbitales; Cucurbitaceae.